CAGCCGGUAACAGAUAGGCUGCCCCUCUGCUCACUUUUCUGUUUCACAGACACAAGGUGUUUUUGUCCCAAGAAAGCCUCCUGGCUUAGCUGUGUGACUAAAUGCUAUUUGCCCUCUUCAGUGGACCUCUAUUCUCAAGAUUCCCUUGUUUUCUCACCAUCCCAUUUGAGAUGCUUGUUAGUAACUGUUACAGGUCUUCUUUACCACCGAGGAAAGACGGAAUCCUACUAGAGGCCAGAAAAAAUGUUCCAGACACGAUGGAAGGCCCUCACUUCUGCCUGCUCUCUUCAAACGCCUAAAGGUAGGGAGUGCCAGGUCUGCUGCCAGGCUCCAAGGGUGGGUCUCUGAGGGGCUAGAAAAUGCCCCACCAAUCUGGCUAAGAUAAAGAAAAGAUAUGAAGAAAAAGUUACAAAAAUUUGAAGGGUUAAGUUAAGUUGCUGAGAGUUAGUGUAAGUUACAGAGAAAGUAAGGUUAAAAAAGAAAGAGGUAAAAAGAACAGAAAGCUAGGGAAGAAAAGAGACAAAAAAAAAGAAGUUAGAGAGCUAAAGAGAGAUAAAAGACAAGAGAAGAACACAUACUGGCCACAGUAGUUAGGGAACCUAGGAAAAUAGUACCUGACAACAGAAGAGAAUUCCUGGCUAAAGAUCAGUGUGCCUAAUACGAAGAAAAAGGACAUUGGGUCAGGGACUGCCCCAAAAAGAACAAGAGGGGACACUGGAGAGCCUCUUGGUGCUGGCUAUACACAGAGAUAGAAGGGAAGCCCGCCCAGUUGUUUUGUGGAUACAGGGACCCAAUGCUCUGUGCUCCUAUGCCCCCCAGUGGGCCAAUAUCCAAAGACCUUGAGUACAAAGAGCUACUGACAACGAACAAUACUUAUAGACUGCCCGAAGAACAGUGGACCUUGGCGUGGGCCGGGUAACCCACCCACUAAUUCAUGGUCAUCCCUGACUGCCCCUAUCCCUUGCUCAUGAGAAAA
RNAcentral lists this long non-coding RNA (976 nucleotides) under Rattus norvegicus (Norway rat). Its description in RNAcentral is "long non-coding RNA NONRATT020494". Lineage: Eukaryota; Metazoa; Chordata; Mammalia; Rodentia; Muridae. The record is from RNAcentral.